CCAAACACACCAGAUCGGUUACUUACUGCUAAGAUUACUUAAAAGAAGUUUGUGUGUGUGUUUGUGUGCGUGUGUGUGUGUGUGUGUGGGUGUGUGCACUCACCCAUUCCUCCUGUGAGCGCGGGUGUGGCGUCGGAUCAGGGGCGGUUCCAGGCACUUACACUCUGUGUGAUUGGCGACCUUUAUCAACACUGGCUCGGGUCCAAACUUAAAUGGCACGACACUCAGCAACUGUCAGAACCAAAGUAGUACUUGUGUUUCGGCAUGAGACACCCUCAUUACCGCAGCACCCGUUACACCUGAACACGGACACGCAGGGCGGUUUGAAGAACAUGGAGGUGAUGGUGCCCAGUUCCUUGGCCACGUCUACACACGUCUCCCUGGGCAUGCACUGGGUCUUCUGCCACUCCUCUUCUAUGGCUGACAAACAUACAACCCAAGAACAGGGAGUGAAACAAAAAUGCUGAAGGAUUCUCCAGCAUAUCGCGUGGAGCGAUGGGAUCCAGACCCAGCAGAGGAGGAGGUUGAUCGGUAGUCGGGCUGCUGAGAGGACGAGGGCACCGACGGCGACGUCUCCAGGUGUUGGAGUUUCAGGCGACAUUUCCAAAGCUUCCAGUCAGGGAAGUCUGUCAACUUGAGGAGUUCAUCCAGGCUGGCGGCCGAACGCAUGUCCCUCACCCACUUCUCCUGGUUGAUCCGCUGAACAGGGGAAAUCGGAAGCAGAGUAGAAUAUAGAACAGCAGAGCAAUAACGCACAGCCAAAGAGACGUCCCUCUGCAGCUAGACUUGGGUCAUCAGCUGCAUCACAAUGUCAUGAAUAAAUCAAAUAAAAUUCCUGAAAAUUAUCUCGAAUGCCUCAGUCCAUCCAAAGUUCCAACUUUCCCAAUUCUGUCACAUGUCAACCAGCUCUUCGGCACACAUGAACCUAUAGAGAAGCAGGGGAAGUUACCUUCAAGCUUUAUGUUACAACAGACUUGGAAAGAGCUACCUCAGUGAGGAAAACGUACUAUGACAGAGUUAUUCUUCCCACAGAUGGUCCCAACUACCUCCCUGUCAUCCACCAUGAGAAUUCCCACAGUUGCCAAUAAUUUUGAAUAUAUGUUUUUAGUGAAACACUUUAAUAUACGUAUUUCGAACUCUUUCAUAUGUUUAAGAUCAUGCUUAUAAACAGCAGUUUGUUUACUGAGCCUUUUUUUGGUCAUCAUUACCAAGGAGUCCAUAACUUCUAGAGGGCACUAAAUGUUGUUCCUAGACAGAAUUAAUUAG
Long non-coding RNA from Esox lucius (northern pike), 1266 nucleotides. RefSeq lists it as uncharacterized. Lineage: Eukaryota; Metazoa; Chordata; Actinopteri; Esociformes; Esocidae. The transcript has 3 exons. The record is from RefSeq and is a predicted model, not a curated record.